RNAcentral lists this long non-coding RNA (295 nucleotides) under Ananas comosus (pineapple). Its description in RNAcentral is "long non-coding RNA (ACOM_LNC023177)". The record is from RNAcentral. Lineage: Eukaryota; Viridiplantae; Streptophyta; Magnoliopsida; Poales; Bromeliaceae.
AUCUUUUCAGCUUCACAUGUCUUUUCUUCCGCCUUCAAUCUCCAUAUUAUUCAUUUUCAUUUAUGCAGUCAAAAAUAAAUAAAUUAUAUAGAUAAAUAUUGGAUUAAACUAUCCAAUCAUAUAUAACUAAAAUUAAAAUUUUAUAUGAAUAAUAAUUUUUUACUUUAAAAAUAUUCUGUAUAUUUUCUCAAGUAUACAAUUAAUAGCAAGGUAGGCAACGGCGGGCAUAUGCUGUUACUUGGUAACUUGGAGGGCUUCCGGCUUGGCCACUUAGGGUGAGAGACAGAAAAAGAGA